Juglans microcarpa x Juglans regia is the source of this 222-nucleotide long non-coding RNA. RefSeq lists it as uncharacterized. The transcript is spliced from 5 exons. The record is from RefSeq and is a predicted model, not a curated record. NCBI's taxonomy places the organism in Eukaryota, Viridiplantae, Streptophyta, Magnoliopsida, Fagales, Juglandaceae.
UUAAUGUGUACUUCUUUAAUAACGAAUAAAUAUUCAAAUUACAAUUAGAGUUAAAAUAAAUGAAAAUGUCAAAAUUAAUAUUUUAAUAGAAUAGUGAUAUAUUUGGAGAGUCUGUUAUUUAGUGUUGUUAAAAAGUGGCUAGCUAAAUUUAGAAAAGUGAAUUUUCUAGCUAAAUUUUGGUCAAACUUUGGCUAGGCCUCCAUUAAUGCUCUUACGGGAGAG